UCUGUUUUAAUAAGCAAUUGUCUUAUUGUGUAUUAUUUAAAAUUUUUUUUGAAAUUGAGUAAGUAACAAUAUUAUAUUUUUAAAGGCAAAAUAAAGGACUUAUAAAGGAAAUAGACUGUGCUCCUUUGUAUUUUCAUUACUGUAAUCUUGUUUCUGCAACUCACAGGGCAGAGAGCUCUGAGGGCUUUUAAUCAAAUGACAUGCCUUGACCUGGAUCUGGAGGCGUUUUCAUAGUUCUGGCUCUGAUGGCGAUUGCUAUGUGACCUUGAGACAGUCACUUCCUCUCUCUGGACCACAGCUGCCUCGUUUGGAAAAUGAAGAGAUUGAACCUUACAGCCUCUAAGAAGGAAGGUUAACCCUCUCACCUCGAAAACUGAUCAUCGCUGUAAGUGAGAAGGAGGGCCACAGUGGAAGGAAGAAGGGACACAGAAUGAGGGGAGCAAGCAUGGUGUGACCUUGGCUAUGUGGUUACACCAGGGACUACCUCAUGCAAACCAGAAGCUCUGCUGGACCAAAUGAUAUUGUGAUGAAUCACCUGAAAUUUGACAGAAGACAGAUCCUGGGUCAAGCCUGUGCUCAUCCACUUCCUAGCAGAAUGACUUUGCUGGAGCUACCUGAUCUCUCUGAACCCCUAUGUCCUCGUCUGUAAAAUAAGGAUAGUAAUGAUACCCACAUCACAGGGUUGUUGCAGUUGGUCCAUAGUAAGUCCUCCAUUAAAGUUAGCUGUUAU
Molecule: long non-coding RNA, 730 nt
Organism: Acinonyx jubatus (cheetah)
Lineage: Eukaryota; Metazoa; Chordata; Mammalia; Carnivora; Felidae
Exons: 3
Source: RefSeq, a predicted model, not a curated record